AUCUAAGUAGUUUAAUGAAAAUUUUGAUUUGUGGUGUCAAAGAUGUGAAUUGUUUUAUCUUGGAUC
RNAcentral lists this transfer RNA (66 nucleotides) under Satanas sp. KW-2016. RNAcentral's name for it is "tRNA-His". Lineage: Eukaryota; Metazoa; Arthropoda; Insecta; Diptera; Asilidae. The record is from RNAcentral.